AACGAACGCUGGCGGCAGGCUUAACACAUGCAAGUCGAACGCCCCGCAAGGGGAGUGGCAGACGGGUGAGUAACGCGUGGGAACAUACCCUUUUCUACGGAAUAGCUCUGGGAAACUGGAAUUAAUACCGUAUACGCCCUACGGGGGAAAGAUUUAUCGGGGAAGGAUUGGCCCGCGUUGGAUUAGCUAGUUGGUGGGGUAAAGGCCUACCAAGGCGACGAUCCAUAGCUGGUCUGAGAGGAUGAUCAGCCACAUUGGGACUGAGACACGGCCCAAACUCCUACGGGAAGCAGCAGUGGGGAAUAUUGGACAAUGGGCGCAAGCCUGAUCCAGCCAUGCCGCGUGAGUGAUGAAGGCCUUAGGGUUGUAAAGCUCUUUCACCGAUGAAGAUAAUGACGGUAGUCGGAGAAGAAGCCCCGGCUAACUUCGUG
Molecule: ribosomal RNA, 431 nt
Filed under: uncultured bacterium
Lineage: Bacteria
Description: partial 16S ribosomal RNA
Rfam family: Bacterial small subunit ribosomal RNA
Source: RNAcentral